CGCGUGUGUGAAGAAGCCUGCGGGUAGUAAAGCACUUUCAGUAGGGAGGAAGCGUUGAGUGUUAAUAGUACUCAGCGUUGACGUUACCUACAGAAGAAGCACCGGCUAACUCUGUGCCAGCAGCCGCGGUAAUACAGAGGGUGCAAGCGUUAAUCGGAAUUACUGGGCGUAAAGCGCACGUAGGCGGUUUUUUAAGUCAGAUGUGAAAGCCCCGGGCUCAACCUGGGAAUUGCAUUUGAAACUGGAAAACUAGAGUGUGUGAGAGGGGGGUAGAAUUCCAAGUGUAGCGGUGAAAUGCGUAGAGAUUUGGAGGAAUACCAGUGGCGAAGGCGGCCCCCUGGACACAACACUGACGCUCAGGUGCGAAAGCGUGGGGAGCAAACAGGAUUAGAUACCCUGGUAGUCCACGCCGUAAACGAUGUCUACUAGCUGUUCGUGUCCUUGUGACGUGAGUAGCGCAGCUAACGCAUUAAGUAGACCGCCUGGGGAGUACGGUCGCAAGAUUACAACUCACAUGAAUUGACGGGGGCCCGCACAAGCGGUGGAGCAUGUGGUUUAAUUCGACGCAACGCGAAGAACCUU
RNAcentral lists this ribosomal RNA (582 nucleotides) under uncultured archaeon. RNAcentral describes it as "bacterial SSU rRNA". It matches the Rfam family "Bacterial small subunit ribosomal RNA", at positions 398 to 972 of the family's 1533-position model. The record is from RNAcentral.